AGUCGAACGGCAGCAUGAUCUAGCUUGCUAGAUUGAUGGCGAGUGGCGAACGGGUGAGUAAUACAUCGGAACGUGCCCUGUAGUGGGGGAUAACUAGUCGAAAGAUUAGCUAAUACCGCAUACGACCUGAGGGUGAAAGUGGGGGACCGCAAGGCCUCAUGCUAUAGGAGCGGCCGAUGUCUGAUUAGCUAGUUGGUGGGGUAAAGGCCCACCAAGGCGACGAUCAGUAGCUGGUCUGAGAGGACGAUCAGCCACACUGGGACUGAGACACGGCCCAGACUCCUACGGGAGGCAGCAGUGGGGAAUUUUGGACAAUGGGCGAAAGCCUGAUCCAGCAAUGCCGCGUGUGUGAAGAAGGCCUUCGGGUUGUAAAGCACUUUUGUCCGGAAAGAAAUGGCUCUGGUUAAUACCUGGGGUCGAUGACGGUACCGGAAGAAUAAGGACCGGCUAACUACGUGCCAGCAGCCGCGGUAAUACGUAGGGUCCAAGCGUUAAUCGGAAUUACUGGGCGUAAAGCGUGCGCAGGCGGUUGUGCAAGACCGAUGUGAAAUCCCCGAGCUUAACUUGGGAAUUGCAUUGGUGACUGCACGGCUAGAGUGUGUCAGAGGGGGGUAGAAUUCCACGUGUAGCAGUGAAAUGCGUAGAGAUGUGGAGGAAUACCGAUGGCGAAGGCAGCCCCCUGGGAUAACACUGACGCUCAUGCACGAAAGCGUGGGGAGCAAACAGGAUUAGAUACCCUGGUAGUCCACGCCCUAAACGAUGUCAACUAGUUGUUGGGGAUUCAUUUCCUUAGUAACGUAGCUAACGCGUGAAGUUGACCGCCUGGGGAGUACGGUCGCAAGAUUAAAACUCAAAGGAAUUGACGGGGACCCGCACAAGCGGUGGAUGAUGUGGAUUAAUUCGAUGCAACGCGAAAAACCUUACCUACCCUUGACAUGCCACUAACGAAGCAGAGAUGCAUUAGGUGCUCGAAAGAGAAAGUGGACACAGGUGCUGCAUGGCUGUCGUCAGCUCGUGUCGUGAGAUGUUGGGUUAAGUCCCGCAACGAGCGCAACCCUUGUCUCUAGUUGCUACGAAAGGGCACUCUAGAGAGACUGCCGGUGACAAACCGGAGGAAGGUGGGGAUGACGUCAAGUCCUCAUGGCCCUUAUGGGUAGGGCUUCACACGUCAUACAAUGGUGCAUACAGAGGGUUGCCAAGCCGCGAGGUGGAGCUAAUCCCAGAAAAUGCAUCGUAGUCCGGAUCGUAGUCUGCAACUCGACUACGUGAAGCUGGAAUCGCUAGUAAUCGCGGAUCAGCAUGCCGCGGUGA
This 1311-nucleotide ribosomal RNA is filed under the name uncultured Ralstonia sp. Its description in RNAcentral is "bacterial SSU rRNA". It matches the Rfam family "Bacterial small subunit ribosomal RNA", at positions 60 to 1365 of the family's 1533-position model. Lineage: Bacteria; Pseudomonadati; Pseudomonadota; Betaproteobacteria; Burkholderiales; Burkholderiaceae. The record is from RNAcentral.